UCCAGAAUAGCAUUAAUUGGUAGAGCACCUGUUUCGUAAACAGGAGGUUGCAGGUUCGAUCCCUGUUUCUGGAU
Molecule: transfer RNA, 74 nt
Filed under: Bacteroides graminisolvens
Lineage: Bacteria; Pseudomonadati; Bacteroidota; Bacteroidia; Bacteroidales; Bacteroidaceae
Also listed under: 2 other names
Description: tRNA-Thr
Rfam family: tRNA
About the family: Transfer RNA (tRNA) molecules are approximately 80 nucleotides in length. Their secondary structure includes four short double-helical elements and three loops (D, anti-codon, and T loops). Further hydrogen bonds mediate the characteristic L-shaped molecular structure. tRNAs have two regions of fundamental functional importance: the anti-codon, which is responsible for specific mRNA codon recognition, and the 3' end, to which the tRNAs corresponding amino acid is attached (by aminoacyl-tRNA synthetases). tRNAs cope with the degeneracy of the genetic code in two manners: having more than one tRNA (with a specific anti-codon) for a particular amino acid; and 'wobble' base-pairing, i.e. permitting non-standard base-pairing at the 3rd anti-codon position.
Source: RNAcentral